AGAGAACAGAAAGAAAAUCUGACUGUGCAAGAGCGAAGGGUGACACCGGGCGUGCAGCACCGACCUGAAGGCACCUCUUCAGGGGGAGCCCGAAAUUUGAAGAUUCUCUUUCCUGUCGGAGACUACAAACCAAAUAAAUAGAUUGUUACUUACAGGAGCCCAAAAACGUUACUUUGAAAAAUUAUCAAUUUACUGUGACAGAUAUGCUGAACAAAUUCCAGUAACCUUUGUGCUUGGGUUUUAUGUUACUCUGGUAGUGAACCGAUGGUGGAACCAGUUUGUGAAUUUGCCCUGGCCAGACAGGCUAAUGUUCCUCAUCUCCAGCAGUGUUCACGGAAGCGACGAGCACGGGCGCCUGCUUAGAAGGACGCUGAUGCGCUACGUCAAUCUCACCUCCCUGCUCAUCUUUCGCUCGGUGAGCACUGCUGUGUACAAAAGAUUUCCCACAAUGGACCACGUGGUUGAAGCAGAGUCUCACUAUGUUGCCUAUGCUGGUCUUGAACUCCUGGCCUCAAGCAAUCUUCCCACCAUAGCCUCCCAAAGGGCUGGGAUUUCUGGUGUGAGCCACCACACCUGGCCUUCCCUGGAAUCUUAAUGUAAAGAUUCUUGACUGUCUUCUAUGACUACAGGGAGCCUGAUGAGACUCCACUGGAAUUUUCAGUGACACUUAU
Molecule: small RNA, 671 nt
Filed under: Pan troglodytes (chimpanzee)
Lineage: Eukaryota; Metazoa; Chordata; Mammalia; Primates; Hominidae
Description: processed transcript
Source: RNAcentral